GCGCUUCGUGGCCCGCGCGGAUGUCGAGCAGCGCGUUGAACUCGCGCGCGAGCUGCCGCAGCUCCGCCGGGCCGGUCACGUCGACCCGGGCGUC
RNAcentral lists this transfer RNA (94 nucleotides) under Cellulomonas cellasea. Its description in RNAcentral is "tRNA-Phe". The record is from RNAcentral. Lineage: Bacteria; Bacillati; Actinomycetota; Actinomycetes; Micrococcales; Cellulomonadaceae.